This 27660-nucleotide long non-coding RNA is filed under the name Coffea arabica (coffee). RNAcentral's name for it is "long non-coding RNA (CARA_LNC003542)". The record is from RNAcentral. Lineage: Eukaryota; Viridiplantae; Streptophyta; Magnoliopsida; Gentianales; Rubiaceae.
UAUUGCUUCUGCAGAGGGCAAUUGUCUGAGGUUAGAGCAAUUAAUAAUCCCUAAUAGGCGAAGAUUCCGAAGGCUGCCCAUCCACUCUGGAAGAACUUCCAACCCCUCAAACUCCCAUAUCUCUAGAGACGUCAAGGUAGAGAUAUGCUGAAUUUGGUCUGGGAGAGCCGUGAUUUUUGGCCAUCCACGCAAUUCAAGACGCUUCAGAGAGACGAGAUUGGUGAUGGAGUGUGGCCACGGGAAAUAAUCAAGGUCGUCAGAGAAGCCACCGAGAGUCAACGAUCUGAGGUUGGCUAGAUGGUGGAGAACCGUAAUUGGCCAACAACCAGGGUCAUCAGAAAUGAACGUCAACCACUUGAGCGACGUGAACUUCUCAAGAUCAUUACUCAACGAAGGAUUCAACUUAUCACAUCCUGAGAUGCUUAGAGUACGUAGGGAUUGGGGGUUUUUCAUAUCCAGAGAAGCAUCUAAUAAAGCAGGACAGUCACUUAAGUACAAGGAUUCAAGAGAUGUGAGGCUAUUCAAAUUCCUUAUACAAGCCAAACUUCCACAUACUUGUAUCUCUAACUCCUCAAGAGAUGUCAAGUUCUCCAUAUCUAGUAAAACAGCCAACUUGGGGAGACCUGAGAUUCUCAAGUCCCGGAGAUUAGGGAAUACCUUAAUUGAUGAAGAAGAAUCCGAGGGAACCAUUGCAUCUGACCACUCCUCUAGACUUCCCAUGUCCUCCAAAACAAAACGCUGUAGUUUCGGAAACAGAGUGACUGCUUUCACCUCUCUGCUACUGGUGCUGCUACUACAAGAAGCGCUGCUCCUUGCAUUAAUAUCGAGACCAUAGAAUUCAGCCCCAAUUCGCUUCACAUUGUGCAAGGAGACCACCUUUAAGGACUCGAGACAAGGCAAGUCCCCUAGUGGUGGUACUUGUUCACACUUAACCAAUUUCUCCAACCUGAGGCGUACCAGAUUCCGAAGGAGUACCAUCAAGUGAUCCUUUGCCACCAUCCAUGACGGAAACCUUGAACCUUUGAAACCAUUAAUGGCUAAACUUUUCAAGUCUGGGUGAGGUUGGAGACCUUCCAUGACACUGUCGAUAUUGUUGUCAUCACAAUCUUCAUUUGUAUCGCCCCAUGAAAGUCUUAAACCUCGAAUGCUUGAUUUUUCGGACAACUUUGCUUUUGCUGCUGAUUCAAAGCCGCUCACAUUCUCAAGUCCAAAUAUUCUCAACUCACCUCCGAGGUUGCGCAAGUGUUCCAACUCCUCAAGUUGACAUCCCUUGUCUUGACUUACCCUGAAGUGCGGCAACGUCCGGAGAUUAGCCAGCUGCCCGAUUCCAGGGAACAGACAUUCCUCACUAUCCUUGAAAAACUCGAGAUGCCUCAAGUUAAUUAAAUUGCUAAACUUCUUAGGUAUCUCUUUCAAGUAACUUACUUUCAAGGUCAUCAAAUUGUAGAGCUUUGUGAUCGAAUCUGGCAGAGCGGUGAUACCAGUUCGCCUGAUAUCAAGAUGUCUUAAAUGUUUCAUGUUACCCACAGCAUUCAGGAGAUGAGUAACAUCCCGGCAGUUUACUAUUAACACACAAAGGUAUCUAGACCUUUCCAAGAUGUCUUCGAGCACACUACCAUCACCCCCAAGAUAAUAAAGCGUUUGCAAAUUUGGAGGAAUCCCUUCGAUAUUCUUUAACACCUUCCCUUGACUCCAAAUGAUGGUCAAAUGCAUAACUUCAUUUUCAUGACGGACUUCCAUGCCUCCCUCUGUAUUUAAGAAACAAUUAUUUGACACUUGCAGUGAAAGAUCAUGCACAAGGUCGUGCAUCCGGCAGUACUCGAUUUCAUUAAAGGAAUUCUUAUCACCAGCUUGCAACAAAGAACUCCGAAGCAAUACGUUGAAAUACUCACUGCCUAUAUCCUCCAUUUGCAAAUGACCUCCUCCUCCCUUGGCAUCAUUUAUCAAUCCCUGGGCCAUCCAAAUCUGUAUCAAGCUUUGUUUUUCCAUGAAAGUGUCCUUCGGGAAAAUGGAACAACUUGCAAAGCAUUGUUUCACUGACCAUGAAGGUAAGUUCUCGUAACUCAGCUUCAGGACAGACAUGACUCGUUUUGCAAUAUCGGUCGACUCGUUCCAUAUUUCACUCUUCUCGAUCGUCAACCAUUCCGAGGCAUCCUUUUUGGAAUACAACAAACCCCCGAUCACUUUGAUCGCUAAUGGCACGCCGCCGCACUUUUUCAGUAUCCUUCUGCCAAUGUCCACCAGAUCUUGAGUCUUUGUUGCACCACCGUCUGCAAAUGCUAGUUUUUUAAACAACAUCCAGCUAUAAUCAUCUGAGAGGAUGUCCAGAUGAUGCAAACCAGAUGUUUGCAUUGCUGAGGCUACUCCAUCGCUACGUGUAGUAACCAAUAUUUUGCUUCCUGGAGCACCCCCUAUUGCCAACAAACGUCUCCUCAUGCCAGCCCAUGUCUCUCGAUCCUCAUUCCAAAUAUCAUCAAGGACAAGCAAGUAACUUUUUCCUUUCAGAUUUUCUUGAAGCUUCCUCACCAAUGCUUCCGUGUUUGUCCUCUCAGCACUUUUUCCCUCAAGGGAUUGUAGCAUCUCAUUCAACAGCCUUUCCACUUUGAAAUCAUCAGACACACAAACCCAUAUUGUUUUAUCAAAGUGCUUCACUACACUGUCAAUUUUUAGCACCAUCUGUGCAAGGGUUGUUUUACCCUGCCCACCCAUCCCAACUAUUGAGAUGACGGGUAAAUCCUUGUUAUAGUCUGAGCUAAUUAACAUGCUCACAACUUGAGAUACCUCAGCCUCCCUUCCCACCGUUUCUGACUCGUCCACAAAAGGAUCAGUCAACCGAUCCACUCUGUGAUCAGCAGAUGCCAUGGGUAGUUGAGCUGGAUGAAGCCCUAUCUUAUUUGCUUCUUUGUAAGCUUCCUCUAGAGAUGCGCUAACAUUCUUGAUCUUGUUAGCCAUCUCUAGACGAAAGGAAAUAGGAUUUGAGGAAGAAAAGAAGUUGCGCACCUUGUCGCGCUUCCGAUUCUCAACCUUCUGCCGCAGAACUUCAUAUCCGAAGUCAUCCAACACGAUCUCAGCAUGACGUGCUAUAGACCGGAGCCUUUUCAGCCAGAGCUGCGCGGUUUUGGUUGUUGAUUGCUUGCAUUUAGCAUCAAAAAUCAAAGCUUCCAUCGUCCGUACAUUGUCGGCAAGCUUCUGAAGGUCUUUCUUUACACCCCACGCCCGGCUGAUCUCGUCGGCAGCAAGUGGAAGUAUCUUAUCCAAGAUCCACACUCCAAUUGAUUACAUUUUAAUGGUAUUGGUAAUUAUAAUUAAAAAUUUCUCAUUUAAAACUAUUUACCUACCCUUGGACUCCAUCUGCUAUUAUUAUACGUACCAAAAUUUCUUAAUUGAAGCAUGAAAAUUUUCUCAUUAGUCAUUAGUUAAGAUUGUUAAAAAAAAAAAUCAAUUUCGAAAAAUAGAUACUCUCUAAAAAAUGGAGAAACAUACACUGACAAGAAAACCCUUAUUCAUCUAUAUAUCUUCACACAAAUAUCACGAGUAAAUUUUACAAUUAUGCACUUUUACCAAUAUGAAGAAUUUUUCAUGUUGCACCCAAUGAAAUUUCAAUAUACAAAAAAUGAUGACACCUUUAUAACUGAAAUAGUAGUAUUAAACUAGAAAAAAGAAAUCUAAAAUAGCACCAUACAAACCACUAUUAUCAUUAAUAGCAACCGAUCAAAACAAGAAAAACUAAAAUAAAAUUGAAAACUAUUUAUAAAAUGGCAUAAAGUAAAUAGCAAAUGAAUUAAAAAGUGAGAAUACAAUUCAAAUAAUACCAAAGACAACAUCCAAAUCACUGAUAUCUAGGAGAAGACAAACAUUUUUGUUAUUGACAAUAAUAUAGUAAUGCUUCAUUUGUAUUGGUUUGAGCAAACCAAAUCCAUCUAUCAAGUCAAAAACCAUCUCCAAUGAUAAAAUAAGAAUUAUAAUAAGAGUAAAUGUAAAAUGUAGAAUGAUAAAAUGAAAAUGAUAUCCAAAAUACCCUUAUUGUUCUAAUGAUUACAUAUAUUUAUUGUAUUGCAAUAUUAGUGAAUAAUGGAGGCGGUUAUGAAAUGAAAAACUUUAAAAUUAAGUAAAUUUCAUUUAUGGUGACAAUUGUAAUUAGACAGAUUUAAUACAUUCCAAUAAUUGAUAAUAAUGAUAGCGGUUAUGGAUUAAAAGUUGGCAAUUAAAAACUAAAACACUGCAAUAUAUUAAAAAAACUAAUAUUAAAAUUAUUAAUUAGCCACAAUUCUCAUUCCAAUUUCAUGAUCAUUAAAAAAAACUAAUAUUAAAACCAAAAAUAUUGUGCUCAUAUGAAAAAGUAGACUUGUGCUCUUGUUUCGCAUUGGAUUGUGCUAAAAACAUGAAUAAAAGAAAAGGAAAAUAGAAAAACUUCAACUAUCUCUAUCUAUAAAAUUUCAAUUGUUAGAAUGCACUAGCCAAAAAAACUUUAUUUGGUGGAUCAUUUAUACUCCAUUAUUGAUAAAAAUAGAAUUAACAUAAUACAAAGAAUUCAAAUUACAGUUAUGUUUAUUUUUCUAACUUAAUUAUAUUCUUCGUUUAUAAAAAAUUGUGAUGAUUGUGGUUUAUAUGCAAUAGAGUCAUGAAUAUACAAUAAUUUUGGUGAAACAUGAUAUUAUCAAUGUUUGAUAUGUUAGAGUUCAAGCUAUAAAUCAAAAAGUAUUUGGUUCAUGAUUUCAAAUUCAAUCCUAAGGGAUAUGUCAACUACAUUGGAAUGUUUUCUGUCUCUUUUCAUUUCAUAAAAUUUUUAAAAGUAAUUAGCUUAAAAAAAUAAUAUAAAAAUACUAUAUUAUGAUAUUAAAUUAUUAAUGACCAAAAUUUCAUAAAAAAAUUUUUAGCAUAUAAAAUAUAAUAUAUUUUAAAAUAUUACAAUCACGUGAACUAUUACUAGUUAUUAUUAAGUGUGCCCAGACCUGGCUCCAGUUGUCAGACAAGAUAAUGCAAUCUAUGCAAAUGCCUAACCAUACGUCCAAAUUGUGGUCUCCACCAGCACCAGCUCAUAAAGAAACUACUGACUGAAUAUUGCAAAUAUGAUAUACACAAUACACGAUGCAUAAUUCAAGGACUUCAUUCAUUUAAUCCAAGAGAAGUUUAUAUAAUGAUCGAAUUUGUUGUAUUGAGAUAUGUGGCUUUUCUACAGAUAUUUUAGCACUAAAAUAAAAUAAAUUAGUAAUUGAAUAGGUUGGAAAACUUAAAAAGGACUGCUCCAAGCAAGACGAAUGAUGACAUCCAACGACCAAUUCAGGGCCACACGGCUUGUGGGUACCAUUGAAAUAAUUGAAUCUAUGGAUGUUAAUUGAGAGUUGAAACAGUACAAGUUGGUUUUACCCCAAAAAAAAAAAAAAAGAAAAAAAACUGUACAAGUUGGUUGAUGUAUUUGGGUACAAAAGUAUUCUUAGGUGUGCCCAGACCAGGGCUCCAGCUUUCAGACAAGAUAAUGCCUAACUAUACAUCCAAAUCGUGGUCUCCACCAGCACAUGUUCAUAAAGAAAGUACUGACUCACGGCACCACCCAUGAACGUGGAGGGCCUGGGAAUCAACUUAUUCCCAUCUGCUGAAUUGAAUGGAAAUAAAUCAAUUCCCAUGGAAGCAUUUGGUUGUAUAAUUUCCAUCCACAACACAACUGGAGGAGCUCCACAAAUAUAGAAUUAGGUCUUUUCCCAAGUAUCAAAACAUAUUAUUAUUAUUUCAUAAAUCACAAGAGUCUAAUGCUCCAAAUAACAUUCUACAUUAGCAAUCUUACCGGCAUUGAGACCGGAGUUUGCAAUUUAACACUUACGGUGCUAAAUAAACUGAACACAAGAAACUUCAGUUUCCUUAAUUUUUAUGGAAGAAGAUAUCACUGAAUUUCGCACUAGAAGCUAUCACCGAAUUAUGCCAGGACAUGGCAUGCUGCCACAGUUAAUUUGGCCUGAAAAGUGUUACAAUUAGCAUUAGCAUUUUGACACAUGAGGAGGUUAUAUAUACUUACGUAAAGUAUAUUUUGCCCUUUUCUUCUUCAGUUUCCACCAGAGAAAAAAGGCUGACAUCACCAGUUAACCAUUUCUACUUAACAAGACAUUAACCGCUUUGUGGUUUUAACAGGGAGCGAACAGCGUUGUUACGUUCCAUUGUGUACUUGUGUUCAUCAGCAUGAUCAGUUCUUUACGUAGUUUAGAAGUUGUUUGCAACUUUGCAUUGCCGAGCAGUUCGAAAGUCAGAAGAAGGUAAAAUGAAGGUGGCUAAUGUUUAAAAUUGUCCACUGGUGUGGUCCGUAUUUUUCGUAUACAUGCAUGGAUAAAAUCAAGUGUUGUGGAAGCGGAUCAAUUUGAGUUAAUUUCAGAAUCUGCAAAAUUUAGAAAUAGUAGAGAGUCUAGAGACCAAAACAGUUCCCUUCCCUGUGGAUUCAUUCCUGUGUACGUGGGGAAAGAGAACCAGAAACAUGUGAUACCUCUUUCCUACCUUUCUUCUCUACUACGUCAGUGCCAAGAAGAGAACAAGUUAUCUUUGCAGCCCAUAAAUUUGUCCUGCUCGGUUCAGAUGUUUGAAGCUGUUCUAGAUGUUGUCACGGCUGAGAAAAGCGGCCAUGAUUAAUUUCUUGAAAAUUUUUGAAGAAAAAGAAGAGGAGAAAGAAGUUGCACUUGAACAUUUGGACAAGAUCGUCAUGAAUUCGGCAACUUUUGCCUUGUUAAAACUACCUAAUUAACUCCACAGUUAAGAAAGGGAGACAGUUCCUGCCAUGGUUUUUUACCCCUCAAAAAUCAAAAUCAAUAUAGGGGUUUUCCACGUAGAAGUUGUGUUCUUGGUUGUUCAAAUUUCUUUUACUAGCUUAAUUUACUUUGGUUAUUGUGUGUUUUAACAUAAUUUUUCUUCUUUUAAGUUUCUUAAUUUCUUUUCACACAUUAACCAAUAACUGAGUAAUCCAAUUUACUAGCUAGCAAAUUUUUUGGGGUAUCUUUAAAGUUUCUUCUUGUCCCACAAUUCAUGAAUGGUAUUAAAAUUUCGUCUUGGAAGAGUACAGAUUAAACUCCUCUUCCAUUGGAGAGAAUCUCUCUCCAUUAUUGAUUACACUUCAAUAAAAUUAAUUUUAAAAAUUAUUUUUGAAAAUCAACUUUCAUCAUAAUAUGUUUCAUUACUUAUGUUAGUUACACAAAAAACUUCACAUGAAAUUGACCAAGUUUUGCCAUUUAAUUAAUCACUAUAAAUUUUAUCCUAAUGUUAUCCAUUUUUCACCGCUCAAAUGUUCCAUGUAAAUCAAACAUUCAAAAUAUUGAUCUAGAGAUCAAAAGAAAAAUAAUGACACAAUUACAUAAUUUUAUAGCAUUAUAUAAAUUUAUAUAUGAAUAAAUGGGGAGACCAAUGGAGAGAAAUCUGACAAACAGGAUCCUAACCCGGGAGGGCACUAACAGUAGUCAUGGAUCCAAUUUUUGGGUCACAUGACUUACUUGCAAGUUUGAAGGAAUAUCUGACAACAGCUUUUUCUUCUCAUAGUAGUAGUUUUUGCCCUUUUCAGCACACUUUGCACAACCACCUUUGACAUAAUUGCAAUAGUUUUCAUUCUCAGAUGAACAAAAUUUGGUAUCAUCAUCAAAACACACUAUAACUAGAGGCCCUAAUUAUUGUACAAUAUAGGGCUUUUCAACACUGCCCCCAGACAUCCAUACAAAAUAAUGGGCGUAGCCCAGCAAUAACAAGAUACAGCUAAAUGAUUUUAACUAUCAACAAUUAAUGUUAAAUAAUACCUAUCAAACAAUUGGGUUAAGUGGAUCUACACAUUGCAAAAGUCAUACUAGAAUGUCGAUAAUUAACCAAUUCCAAGAAUCAGGAUUACCAGACAACCAAAUGGUUGUUGAACUACUCAUUAGCAACCUUCUUCCAGGCGCCCCCUUGAUGAAAGAAUUGAGAGUAGUGUUAGCACGCGAAUCGAGUUCAUGGUUGGUUCCUGAUCAUUUAUCCCAAGUCAAUUUCCAAAAAAAUGUUGUCUGUUUUGCAGCUUCAGAGUAACUGAUUCACCAUUUCUUGUUUGAUAAUCUCAGUCAGCUGCCAUCUGAUCUGUUUGGAGAUUCCCUCCGUAUCAUUUCUAUGAGAUCCUGCACAACUUCAGACAUUGGAGGCCUAAACUCUGGCUCCAGCUGCAUGAAAAACUCACUAUGUCAGAACUUAUUCAUUGAAGCCAAGGAAGAAAUGAUAAGAGGACAUCACCAAUGGGAGUUUCCAAUAACACAGUACUCAAGAGACUUCCUGGAAACAAAGUUAUAUUCUCUUUUAUGUAUGUUUUCUAUACAAGAAAGUAGAGGUUUGAUUCCUUAGUAGGAUAAAGACAUAAUUUUGAUAUGUACCUAUUCAGUAUUCACCACUACCUUUUUUAAGUUUUUUAGUCAUAUGGAGGAAAAUACUUCUUUUUCCUUUCAACUCUUCCUUGUUUUAUUCCUCUUUGGGUGUAAGUGGGAGGUCUCGAACCUGGAAUCUCUCACUUACUCUCCCCCCAUACCACCCAACCCAUCCCUCCCCCCAAUUUUUCCUUUUCCUUCAUUUUCCAAUGAAACAACAAUGAUUUUGCAUACAACUUUCUAAGAAAUGAACUCGGGUGCCCAAUGUGCUUUAGUCGCAUUCAGCCGUACGUUAACUUGGCCUUGUAGUCGUGAGUACUAAGAACUAGCAAAACCAUUCGCCACACCUGCCUACAAUUACAUGGGAAAAUUUCUUUCACCGUACAAUGUUAUAUGCAAGUGCAAAGCAAAUUCUUGCAUUCAGGGAGUUCCGAGGUUUCUUCAUGUGCCAGCAUACUGUUAUACAAACGCAGCAUUGCAUCUUUAAUUUUGAAGAACUGAUAUCUAUGUAUAUUUAGGUUAAACUAGGGCUAAGGGGGGACCAGAGUUAUAGGCAGAAAGAUAAUUGGAUAUCUAGACUUCUACUACAACAAGAGCAUGCAUCUCCAUGUUCCAAUCUAAAACAUUAAUAAUUCUCUCAGGUGGAGUGUUAGAGUAAUGUAACCUUAGGUAAUUCAUAAACCAACUGAGUUAAGAAACAAUUAGUUCGUUAUACUAAGUGCACAGAAACUUGGGCAUAUAAGCUGCUUGUAAUUAUGCGUUCCCUAACAAUCUGGUAAGUCUAGCACUAAAGUUUGAGUACUAAAAGUAAAGGGGAUGUUUUUUAAGUCCAAUUUGAUCAAAGGUAACUUUUAUCUGUCAUGUGAUAUUUGGACCUGUAAAAGGAUGGACCCAACGACUUUAAACACUCAGAUUCUCAAGACUUGCUCUUAAGUGUUACUUUUUAUUACUAAAUGUGACGCCCCGAAAAAAAAAAAUAGGGUUUUCAUUUUGUAUACUUUGUUGGACGAGCGAAGGAACGCAGCUUUUAAACUUGGAAAUGAAGAAAAAAUUGGAAAUGUGAAAGGGGCCAAAUCCGGCCGGAAAUCCGGCCAGUUUCUGGCCGGAUAGCUGGCCGGUUUGAAAAAAAUUGGAUCAGCCUUUGCCUCGAAUCCGGCCGGAAAUCCGGCCGGAUUGUGACGUCAUCCCCGACAGUCAACUUUGACUGGCUGCCUUUUUCUUCCUUCUUAUCUCAUUUUGGCCAAAAUAUCUCACUUUCUUCCUUGGUUCAUCCGUGAGCUUUGAGAGAAAAACAAGAAAAACUCUUCAUUCUUCCAUCUUCAAUUUCUACUCAAAUCUUGGGUUUUAACCGAUGGUUUUGGAAAAUAUUUCAUACAAGGGCUCAUUAUGGUGGUUUAAAGCUUUUGAUGGAUUGGUUUUGGAAGGGGAGUGCUAAGUUGAUAGCUUUCUUGAACUUGAGGUGAGUUGGAUAAACAAGUUCCCUUUUGUUCUAUAUUUGGUUAAUUAAUGGUUUGUGGUGGUCAUGUAUGUUAUUUUGUGGAGUAUUUCAUGGGUUGAAGGAAGUUAUGGUGAAUUUCUGAUUUAUUGGGCAUUUUUCCGAUUUUAUAUGAUAAGCAUGAAUUGGUCUUGAAUUGAUGGAUUGUUAUGGUGUUAAAUGGACCCUUUAUACGUUAAUUGUGGUUGUUUGCGGAAAAUUUCCGCUUAUGGUAUGAAUUCCGGUUUUAGGGUUUCAAUUUGGGAAUUUUUCCAAGAUUGGCUUAUAAGCUUCUAAUUGGUUUUAAUUGAGGGAUUUUGUGGCCCUAAUUGGAUAUGUUUAUUGAUUACGAACUAUAUGUGCAAUUGUGGUUGAUGGUUAUGAAUUUGGUGAAUAUUUGUAGGUUGGAAAAUAAAGAAAGUGAGGGGGAAAUGCUGUCCGAACUUUGAUAGUAUUUGGUUGCUUUGAACUGGAAUUGAAGGACUUGAGUUCGAUCCAUGAAAUUGUCUAUAGUGGAAGAGGACUAUGAGCCGUGAAGUGAGUAAUCUCCAAACUGUUCCAAAGUUACUUUUGAACGUUUUCUUGCAUUAUUUAUUCAAUUGCAUAUCAUGCGUGCUUGCAUGUGAGUUCAUGACAUGAUUUGGCUUGAAAUGAGUACUUGGGAAGUCCUGUGCUGAACACCAACGUCUCUACCACUGUUCAUGUUUAUUUGGAGCUCAAAAAGGGGCUCCCUCUCUCUGUUUACUGUUAACGUUAAAGGAUCUGUUUGAGCGUUGGGUGUUUAGGUGCAAUGAUUUCACUGGCUCACGAGAGCAAUAAACGUACAUUGGAUUUCUGAUUCAUAACAUCAUUGAAAUGAACGAUUAUGAAACUGAUUUGAUUACUGAUUUUAUUGGUUACUCGCUGAGAUUUUAGCUCACCCCAAAACUAUUUUAUUCCCCUCCACAGGGCUCGAGGCGAAGAAAGAGCUUGUAGUGCUUAUUCAUGUGAAUGGACGGAUUAUCUCAUGUAUGGUUUGAAUUUGAAUUUUUCUUUUGUGACUUAUAUUGUAAUUUAUUUGAGGACUGUAGUGAAUGACUGAGUCCCGACGAGACUUGGGCAGGCGGCCCACCGAACCCUCUGGUUCGCCUUAGGGGGAGGUGGGGCUGUCACACUAAACCCCCCUCAUCUUCGCUCUUCCAACCAUUAAGGGAGCCAGGGAUUGAACCAUGGGAAGUUGGGAACCAAUCUAAGGCCAUUCAUCCUAAUCAUAACAAAUCCUUGAACUUGAUCACAAAUCUGUAAACAAGCCAAUAUUUUACUCAAAUUUAUGGUGGGUUUGGUAAGUCAGUGAGGUAGAUAUAUAUAUAAGAAGUGCGGUAGAUAUAUUAGAUGGAUGAGUUGCCUUGAUUCUGACCCUUUAAAAAAAAGAAUGAUAAAGAGGAGGACGAAAGAAUCUACGGAAAAGAAAAUGUAAAGAAGGAUAUGGCAAUUUAAAAGGAAGCAGUAGCGUUUUUUAUUUCCUUUUUCCUUCCGGGGAUUAUAUAUGAGAAAAAAAAAAAGUACUAAUAGAAUUCUAAACAAACCGAAUAAGUAGAGAUUAAAUAAGAACAUUGGAAAUAUUAACUACUUACAGUUACAGUGGGGUUUGUUUCCCUAGUCGAUAACAAGGGGAAUAUGUGCAAUCUUGGGCCACUCUGCGCCACUUCCUUUGGUGCAUCUCUCUGCUAAAAGAGGACAGGUGUCGAUAUACAGUUUAUUUAAAUUGGUGAGGUGUCGUGUUGCUUCUGCAGAGGGCAAUUGUCUGAGGUUAGAGCAAUCAACAAUCCACAAUUCUCGAAGAUUCCGAAGGCUACCCAUCCACUCUGGAAGUACUUCCAACCCCUCAAACUCCCCUAUCUCUAACGUCCUCAAGGUAGAGAGAUGCUGAAUUUGGUAUGGGAGAGACGUGAUUUUUGGCCAUCCACGCAAUUCAAGACGCUCCAGAGAGACGAGAUUGGUGAUGGAGUGUGGCCACGGGAAAUGAUCAAGGUCGUCAGAGAAGCCACCGAGAGUCAACGAUCUGAGGUUGGCCAGAUGGUGGAGAACCAUAAUUGGCCAACAACCAGGGUCAUGAGAGAAGAUUUCCAACCGCUCGAGCGACGUCAACUUCUCAAGAUUAUUACUCAAUGAAGGAUUCAACUUAUCACAUCCUAAGAUGCUUAGAGUACGUAGGGAUUCCAGAGAAGCAUCUAAUAAAGCAGAGCAGUCAUUUAAAUAUAAGGAUUCCAGAGAUGUGAGGCUAUUCAAAUUCCUUAUACAAGCCAAACUUCCGCAUCUCCAUAUCUCUAACAUCGCAAGAGAUGUCAAGUUCUCCAUAUCUGGUAAAACAGCCAACUUGGGGAGCCGUUCGAUUCUCAAGUACCGGAGAUUAGGGAAUACCUUAAUUGAUGAAGAAGAAUCCGAGGGAACCAUUGCAUCUGACCACUCCUCUAGACUUUUCAUGUCGCACAGCACAAAACUCGACAGUUUCGGAAACAGAGUUAUUGGUUCCACCUUUCUGCUACUGCUACUGCUACAAGCGCUGCUCCUUGCAUUAAUAUCGAGAUGUGCAAGGAGACCAUAGAAUUCAGCUCCAAUGCGCUUCACAUUAUGUAAGGACUCCAUCUCUAAGGACUCGAGACAAGGCAAGUCCCCUAGUGGUGGUACUUGUUCACACUUACCCAAUCCACUCAACUUGAUCUCUACCAGAUUCCGAAGGAGUACCGUCAAGUGAUCCUUUGCCACCAUCCACGACGGAUACCUUGAACCUUGGAAACCCCAAAUGGCUAAACUUUUCAAGUCUGGGUGAGGUUGGAGACCUUCCAUGACACUGUUGAUAUUGUUGUCGUCGCAAUCUUCUUUCGUGCCAUUCCAUGAAAGUCUUAAACCUUGAAUGCUUGAUUUUUCGGACAACUUUGCUUUUCCUGCGGAUUCAAAGCUGCUCACAUUUUCAAGUCCAGAAAUUUUUAGCUCGCCUCGGAGGUUACGCAAGUGUUCCAACUCCUCAAGUUGACAUCCCUUGUCUUGGCUUACCCUGAAGUGCGGCAACGUCCGAAGAUUAGCCAGCUGCCCAAUUCCAGGGAAGAAACAUGAUUGGCCCAUAGCAGAUGAAAACUCGAAAUGUCUCAAGUUAAUUAAAUUGCCAAAUUUCUUAGGCAUCUCUUCCAAGUAACAUACUUUCAAGGUCAUCAAAUCGUAGAGCUUUGUGAUGGAAUUUGGCAGAGCAGUGAUACCAGUUCGCCUGAUAUCAAGAUGUCUUAAAUGUUUCAUAUCACCCACUGAAUUUGGGAGAUGAGUAACACCCAGGGAGUCUACUAUUAAUACAGAAAGGUAUCUAGACCUUUCCAAGAUGUCUUCGAGCAUAAUACCAUCACCCCCAAGAUAAUAAAGCGUUUGCAAAUUUGGAGGAAUCCCUUCGAUAUUCUUUAACACCUUCCCUUGACUCCCAAGGAUGGUCAAAUGCAUAACUUCAUCAUCAUGACUGACUUCCAUGCCAUCCCUUGUAUUGAAGAAACGAUUAUUUGACACUUGCAGUGAAAGAUCAUGCACAAGGUCAUGCAUCCGGUAGUACUCGAUUCCGUACUUAGGAGUAGCUUGCAACAAAGAACUCCGAAGCAAUAUGUUGAAGUAAUCGCUGCCUAUAUCCUCCAUUUGCAAAUGACCUCCUCCUCCCUUGGCAUCAUUAAUCAAUCCCUGGGCCAUCCAAAUCUGUAUCAAGCUUUCUUUUUCCAUAUCAGCGUCCUUCAGGAAGAUGGAACAACUUGCAAAGCAUUGUUUCACUGACCAUGAAGGUAAGUUCUCGUAACUCAGCUUCAGGACAGACAUGACUCGUUUUGCAAUAUCGGUCGACUCGUUCCAUACUUCACUCUUCUCAAGCUUCGACCAUUCCGAGGCAUCCUUUUUGGAAUACAACAAACCCCCGAUCACUUUGAUCGCUAAUGGCACGCCGCCGCACUUUUUCAGUAUCCUUUUGCCAACGUCCACCAAAUCUUGAGUCUUUGUUGCACCACCGUCUGCAAAUGCUAGUUUUUCAAACAGCAUCCAGCUAUAUUCAUCUGAGAGGAUGUCUAGAUGAUGUACACCAGAUGUUUGCAUUGCUGAGGCUACAUCAUCGCUACGUGUGGUAGCCAAUAUUUUGCUUCAUGGAGCACCUCCUCCUAUUUCGAGCAAACAGCUCCUCAUGCCAUCCCAUUUCAGUGGAUCGUCAUUCCAAACAUCAUCAAGCACGAGCAAGUAACUUUUUCCAUUCAGAUUUUCUUGAAGCUUCGUCACCAAUGCUUCCUUGUUCGUCGUCUCAACAUUCUUUUCCCUGAGGGAUUGUAUCAUCUCAUUCAACAGCCUUUCCACUUUGAAAUAAUCAGACACGCAAACCCAUAUUUUUUUAUCAAAAUGCUUUGUUACAUUCUCAUUUUUUAGCACCAGCUGUGCAAGGGUUGUUUUACCCUGGCCACCCAUCCCAACUAUUGAGAUGACAGGCAAUUUCUUCUUAUAGUCUGAGCUAAUUAGCAUGCUUACAACUCGAGAUACCUCAACUUCCCUUCCCACCAUUUCUGACUCGUCCACAAAAGGAACAGUCAAACGAUCCUCUUUGUGAUCAGCAGAUGCCAUGGUUAGCUGAACUGGAUGAAGCCCUAUUUGAUUUGCUUCUCUGUAAGCUUCCUCUAGAGAUGCGCUAACAUUCUUGAUCUUGUUAGCCAUCUCUAGACGAAAGGAAAUUGGAUUUGAGGAAGAAAAGAAGUUGCGUACCUUGUCGCGCUUCCGAUUCUCAACCUUGUGCCGCAGAACUUCAUAUCCGAAGUCAUCCAACACGAUCUCAGCAUCACGUGCUAUGGACUGGAGCCUUUUGAGCCAGAGUUGCACCGCUUUGCUUGUUGAUUGUUUGCAUUUAGCAUCAGAAAUCAAAGCUUCCAUCAUCUCUACUUUCUUGGAGAGCUUCUGAAGGUCUUUCUUUACACCCCAUGCCCGGCUGAUCUCGUCGGCAGUAAGUGGAAGUAUCUUAUUCAAGAUUACACUAACACAACUGAGUGCAGCUUCAGCCAUCUUCAAGGGAAACUCUUAACAGAUGAAGGUAAAGUGCUUUGGUUGAAUAGUUGGACUACUUUUUGCAGACAGAGAUGAGCAAAAUUCAACAGCUAUGAGUUGCAAAGAAAGCACUGAAGCCAUUACUUAUCUUUCAUUUUUUUUCCCAAAACGAAAUUUCCUAGUCUCCACCGAAGAAUUAUUAUAUUCUAGCAGUACAUUUUUUUUGGCUUUUUCCCUUGGCUUUUGGUCGGGUCUUCACAUGUUAAAGCAAAAAUACUACUUAUGAUAACAAUAAUUAGAAUAGUAUAAAAGUCUCGGAUGCAAAUGUGUUAAACUUAAAGAAGGGAUGAGUGAAAGAUUCCCCGAGAAAGGGUGUGAAAACUUUGCCGAACAUUGAAAUUUCAACCUCUAGAUGCUCAUAAUGGUCAAUAAUUAUUAUUAAGUGUGCCCAGACCUGGGCUCCCGUUGUCAGACAAGAUAAUGCAAUCUAUGCAAAUGCCUAAUCAUACGUCCAAAUUCAAGGUUUGCCCACCAGCACGAGCUCAUAAAGAAACUACUGACUGAACAUUGCAAAUAUGAUAUACACAAUACACGAUGCAUAAUUCAACUAAUCACAUUACAGGGACUUCAUUCAUUUAAUCCAAGAGAAGUUUAUAUAUUGAGAUAUGUGACAUUUCUACAUUUAUUUUAGCACUAAAAUAAAAUAAAUUAGUAAUUGAAUAAGCCUAGUUCUUAGAGUUGUACCACAUUUUUUGCUUUUGACUAGUUCAAAUUUGUCUGAGUUCUAAAUGUUAUGUUGAGAUUUGUUAGGGGAGAUUUGAAUAGUGUUGUUUUGAGGUUUGUCGCGAAAAAUCUGUGUAGACUUAUUACUUACACUUUCAAUUAAUAAUAGAGAGUUAUUUAAUGAGAAAUCUAAAAUCAUUUUUCAACUCUCUCAAUAUAAGUCUCGGUAAACUAUUUUUUGUCAGCUUUCAGUAGAAGUAAGCUCUAAAUUCUAACAUAUUGGCUGGUAGUACAAAAUAGAGAUGUUCCAAUUUCUCUUCAGCACAUGCAAAUAUUUAUCACAUACAAGAAGCUAGUGUUGAAAAUAGGACCAGGAGUUUGCUUCAAUCCAAUUGAAAGCAAUCGGGCUUAACGAACCAUCAGGAACGCCAAGAGAGCUGACCAAGAAAAGUGCAUAUACAAAGGGUAUUUUCUCUAAUUUAAAGACAUAACAACACUCUCUGCUCCUCAUGUUUUUCAUAUACAAAGGGUCACCCUGGAAAUUUAUCAGCAAUUGGUAUCAUUAGUUGCUUCUAACUUCUGGUCCUGCAAGAUCUAUACCAAAGAAUCAGAUAAUAGAGAAGUCUGUAGCCCACGAUGAAAGCCAACAUCACAACCAAGUAACUCUAUUUCUGUGACUGUUUUAUGCCUAGAUUUCUCAAGAAUGCAUCACCAUGCAUCAAACAUCCUGCUUCAACACCGUCUGCACAUUUCCCUCGGCCUCUGUAUCCUCCAAAACUCAUUUAGUAGAAGACAUUCAAGAGGAUACUUCAUCAAGCUCAAAUAGUGCAUGAAGAGCCUAUACUUGGGUAUUUCUUUGUUAGAUAUGAAUUACCCCGAGAAAACAAGAAUGCACCCAUGAUGCCUGCCAUCAAAGACAUUCCUGAUAUGAAAUUCGGUACCAGAGCACUGAAGCAGCUGCAAAAGAAUUUGCCAUUGAGAGAACCAUCCAAGCCACCAGACAGAAAUAAAGGAAUCCAUAGAUUUUGCGUCUGAGUCCAACUAGCCAGUGAAGUGGAGUAGUAAAGAGGAGAUAGUUGCAAAAGGAAGGCAACAAACACUAGGUUGUUUGCUAUAACAUAUGAAGAUAUUCUGUAAGAUCCUCUUGAGGUCUCUCUCAUCAAAAUUAUCCUCUCUUGCAAGAAUAUUGGGAGAGCUCCUGUAGUAAAUGACAACAAGAAGGUCAGGAUAAACCCCAUGAAUCCAAUCUGAGUUUGAACACCUUCAGGCAGAAAUAUUUUGCUAUGUACUUGGAUUUGAUUAGUUGCCAACCAUCUGAGUUGACAUUAUUCAACUUGAUUCACCAACUGGCAAAUCAACACUGUAUAAACAGGCACAGAGGCUUAAGAUGCAUUCCAAUUUCCACGUGCAUGGGCAUAGCAUGCAACUAAUUCAUUUGGAUGAUAUAAUACAUAAGGUCAUCAGUUUGACAAGAUUAACUUCAAAACACCUACUUCCAACUAAAUACGCAGAAGACAACAGAAAUGAUAUGUUUCUUGUUUAUUCAGAAGCUCAGAAUGCCAGUGCAUUAUUGAAUAAAAAAAUUAUUUUUUUUGGGUCAAUCACUAAUCUGAUCUAUAUUAAGGGAUAUUUUCAAGUGAUAUUGGCAAAUGAUAUCGUCAAAGCACACAUUUUAGUUCUACAGCAAACCUCGUGUGCAAUGACAACUAUAGCUUUUGCCACUCAACAAUUGAUCAUUUUUAAAAGGAUAAAAGUGUUAUUUCAUGAAUAUUUUGCAGUGGCAUUAUAACAAGUCUAAGUGUAUUAGGCUGGUAAUUGUGAGACUCCUAAUUGACUCUCAAAACAUGCUCUCAAAACAUGAUCAUUUCUCUGCUCCUCAUGUUUUUCAUAUACAAAGGGUCACCCUGGAAAUUUAUCAGCAAUGGGUAUCAUUAGUUGCUUCUAACUUCUGGUCCUGCAAGAUCUAUACCAAAGAGUCAGAUAACAGCGAAGUCUGUAGCCCACGAUGAAAGCCAACAUCACAACUAAGUUACUUUAUUUUUGUGACUCUUCUAUGCCUAGAUUUCUCAAGAAUGCAUCACCAUGCAUCAAACAUCCUGCUUCAACACCUUCUACACAUUUCCCUCUGCCUCUGUAUUCUCCAAACUCAUUUAGUAGAAGACAUUCAAGAGGAUACUUCAUCAAGCUCAAGUAGUGCAUGAAGAGCCAAUACUUGGGUAUUUCUUUGUUAGAUAUGAAGUACCCCGAGAAAAAAGAAGAACGCACCCAUGAUGCCUGCAAUCAAAGACAUUCCUGAUAUGAAUGCAGCUGCAAAAGAAUUUUCCUUUGAGAGAACCAUCCAAGCCACCAGACAGAAAUAAAGGAAUCCAUCGAUUUUGCGUCUCAGUCCAACUAGCCAGUGAAGUGGAGUAGUAAAGGAAUGCAACAAAAUUAUAAGAGAUCUUUACAAUCCACUAAUACAAUCCAACUCAGCUCAGUGAAUGCGAUCUUUACACGGAAAACCUUAGUUGAGAGAAAUGUCAUGUACCUAGGGGUAGUCAGCUACAGCCAAUACAGCAACGGGACAACCAAGAAAAAGAAAGAAGAAAAGGGAGAGAAAGGAGAACCUUUACAGUGACUGCCACAAAGUGAAGAAUACAGAGGUACCAGUGACCUCAUAGGAAUUUUAUUGUACAAGGCCAAAAAGCUCACUAAAUACAUUCAAGUGCUUAGCAAUUCACACUGAACAAAUCAUCUACAUCAAGCCUGCAAAAUCACCCAAAAACUAAACCUUGCUAGCUAGGUACAGCGAGAAAUUUCCAAUUUUGUGAUGAAUUUUAAAAAAAUUCUACAAAAGGGGUGAUUUUGGUUAGAUAUUCCGCAGGGGGUGUUCGCAUUCGCGAAAUGCGAGCUCUCUAGAGCUCGCAUUUGCGAAAUGCGAGCUUCCCAUUCCUUGAACCAUUGCACACCUCCCUUUCCUUUAUUUUGGACACCUCCCUUAUUACUGCAAUAAAUAGAAAGACCAGACAUGUAAGCAUCGACAAGACUUACGUUUAAAUUGAAAUUUAGUAUAUUUGGAAACCUUAUUUAAGAAUAAUGGUGUCGUAUUUUAGUGACAUACUAUAGAGAGAUAAUAUGUUGGAAAAGUAAAAUUUUGGUUGGACAACAGUGUUUAAGAAAUAAUAUAAAAAUUUUCUAAAAAAUGGGCAACCCAUUCACAUAAAUUUGUAGGAGUUCAGCUACAGUAAUCUACGUACUAAUAACUGAGAAAGAAAUGAAAAAUCGAGAAUAUUCCAAAAAAAUCCAGGUUUGAGUAGUCAAUACCUGAAGUUGGAAAUUGAAAAAAAAAAAAAUGAAGACCAUGAGAAUUCAAAGAAUCCAAGCUUAAGAAAUGGCGGAGCAUUAACCACUGUAUAGGACCAAACAUUAUUUGCAACCCAAAUUAGUGGUAAAAGAACUAAUAUCAUUCACUCUGAUUCACUAUAUUCACUAUAUUCCUCUGUGAACUCGCAUUCCGUGAAUGCGAAGACCCCCCAUUUGUAGAACAACCUCCAAAAAUCGCCCCAGUUGUAGAAUCCUUUUUUUUUUUCAUCAUAAACUAAGAAUUCACCCUAGGUACAGCAGGGGGCGAACUCUUACAAUGCCAAUUGAACCAUAGGCACUUAUCCUUCACUGCUUCAGCUUCACUGACGUACUCUUUGAAUCCAUUGGGAGAUAUUCCCCUCUUUGCUAUCACAUAUGAAGAUAUUCUGUAGGAUCCGCUUGAGGUCUCUCUCAUCAAAAUUAUACUCUCUUGCAAGAAUAUUGGGAGAGCACCUGUAGUAAAUGACAACAAGAAGGUCAGGAUAAACGCGGAAUUGGAGUAAGAGAGGUGCUUUUCUUGAAUAUUGGUCAAAAUGGAAGUUCUGAUAACAUGCAGAGCUGAAGUCUCAAGCACUGAAUCUGAGGUUGCUAACGUUGUAUUGGUUACAGGCAUCAUUAUUGUAUCAUCUCUUGUUGCAUCUCCAUGAUCAUGUUCACAUUCAAGCAUUUUUCUGGCUUUUAUAUUGGUUGGAUUGGCCUCAACUCCCAUAGUAAUGCUCUAAGAAGGCACAAAUACUGCAAGAAAUACAUAUUAUCGUCAGCAGAAGUUAGUAUUGCUAGCAAGCAACUAAUGUGCCUAGGAAGAGGUAGUAGAAAUUAUAUGUUACUUCCCACUUCAGAUUGAAUAUAAUGUGUUGCUUUGAAUGUAAUUUAUGCAUCAAGAAAAAUGGAUUUUCAAAAGUAUAUAACGUUCUGGAUUUGAAUGAGUUUGUGUGUGCAGCAAAAUGGAAAUAAAAGUUUAAUAAUGUUGAAAAUUCUGUGGAUUUAUAUCAUGGUUAGUUGGGAUUCAAAGACAUUAAUUCAUACCAAUUGUUUAUUGGGAUAGAAAAAUGGUACAUGGCAUGGCACGUUAUCGUACUUUUAUAUUAUGGCUGCCUGUACUUAAUUUUAAAUAAUCGAAAUUAGUAUUCUAUAUGAUUAUAAUACAUGAUAUAUGGUCGUCGUAACUCACAAGUUUUAAUUAAAGCUUGAACAAAACCUUGGUUUGUGGAAACAAAUCAUAAUUUUAAGUCCAGGCAAUUUGUCCGACCCUAUUCUUUCAUGGUGGAUUUAAUUUGAAAGAAUCUAGUUAAAUAUUUUUUGGCUCUCAUACAAAUCAAACUAAAAAAGGUAAAUUACUAAUAAAUUCCCUUGUGGUUUCGCACAUUACCGCAUUACCUUUAUAGUUUUUUGAAUCAAUUGCUAUAACUGAAGGUACUUUUUAUCCAUUUUUCACUUUACACAAAAUUAUAGAGUGAUUAUAAAGAUAUUUUAAAACAUUAAGGAAUCAUGUGACAAUACACAAAUUUUUUAGAAGAUUAUUAGUAAUUUACCCAAUUUAAAGUCCAGAAGUAACUAUUUGGUUGGUAAUAGUUCUAGGGGAAAAGAGUCCCAUGCCCCUCCAACUCUUUUUCAAGUAAAGUUUUAAUCCUCCAAUAAUUAACAAUAAAAGUUUGGCCCUCGAUCUAAUAAAAUAGCAUAUGCGUGGCCCUUCUGUCAAAUCUAGCAGUUAAAAUUAACAGGAAGCAUUAUCUCGUGAGAUGCGCGAUCAAAUAUCAAGGGUAUUAUAGUCUCUGAAUGGUUUACCAAGCACCUCCGCCCCACCGACCCCUCCACCACCCCACCACCUGUGUCACCACCACUGCUGCCGUUGCUCUUGCUUCUCCUCACGAUAAGCCUGAUUGAUCAUUCAAUAGGACCAGUUCUGCAUCUAUACACUGCUUGGUAUGUUUGUCCACCAUUUCGUGCAACCUUCUGUCCUUCCUCAGUAGCAGUACUCAAAAGCUUUACAACUGGAUCAUCUUCCUGCUCUUGCACGGUAAGGGGUUCGAACAAUGGGUGCCCCUCCAAACAAGAUUUCAUCCACUCCCCCAGUUCUUCCACAUCAGCAAUGGUGUAAAUAAUUCCACCAACUGCAAGAGCAUAAGCAUACUCAUCCAGCAAGUAAGGACUAAUAACACGACGGCGAUGAUUUUUUUCUUUAAAGUGAGGGUCCGGGAAAAGAAAAAACAUCUUUUUAAGCUGCCUCUUCUCAAAGUAAUUGGGAAUGUACUUCAUCGAAUUAGUGCGAACCACUGAAAUAUUCUGAUACUGCCCAGGAUUACUAGUCCUCAGUGCUAAAAUCCUUUCCUUUACGUACUCUGUCACCUUAUCCCUGAGUUCCAUUCCAAUCAUAAGGGUUUCAGGAAAAAGCGUCGAAAGGCUAAUUAAACGCCCUCCAAAACCACAACCUAUGUCCGCAAAACAAUCUUUUUGGAAUCAUUAGAUAUCUGAGGAUAAUGACUGGAAUAAUCAAAUUGAGAAUGGGCAACAGGAACAGGGAAAUGGGAAUCACUCAAUGGAUUGCGAUGUGCCAGAGCAUGAUAAAAUCGUUUCCGAGGCAGCCCAGUACUUUUGCUUCUCCUUCACCGAAAUGAUGUAGAGGUUCUUUGUCCCCAUUGUUAUCGGCGCAGUUGCCGUUGCCGCCACCGGAAGACCUAGCGACAUCUUGAACUUGUUCUCUAGGAAAGAGACCAUAAUGCCCUUGAUAUUUGGUCGCGUGUCGCACGAGAUGAUGCUUCUCGUCAAUUUUAACUGCUGGAUUUGACGGAAGGACCAUAAAUAUGCUAUUUUAUUAGAUCGAGGGCCAAAUCUAAAACUUUACCUGAGAAAGAGUUGAAGGGUCAUUGAGACUCUUUUCCCUAGUUCUAGAAUGGGCGCAAAACAAACAAUUUGGUUGGUAAGAGUGCUAUAAUGGAUACAAACUAGGCGCCAUGCUUCUAACCAAAAUCUGCAAUUUCAACAUCUGUAAUUUAUCUAGAGAAAUGAUGGGAAUAGUCCCUCACUUGUUGCAUUUGUAUUUAUUUAAUUUCUCACUUCCAAAUCGCACUAUUUUAAUUUUAAAAACUAUUUUGGGAGAUUUUUAAUCUUAAAACAUCGCCUGACCACCACAUGAUUCCGAUUUUAGGAGCCCAAAAAGUAUCACAUACUUUUAAUUUAUUAUUAUUCUUUUAUUUGCUUUUUCUCCUUUGUUUCUCAUUUGGCCUAGUCUAAUUGGUACUCUUGGUAUUCUUUAUCUUUGUUAUUGGUUUUUAGUUUAAAUAUGUUUGGAACAAUUUGCGAAUCUCUUUGCUAGAUUAUUUUUUAAAUUAAUCUUUUCUACACUGACACUGUUGGAUUAAUGACAAUUAUGCAAAAUUUAAAUUUAACAUUCCAGGCACAGCACCUUCAAAUCUGGUAAAGCAACCGAAUUGGGUAUAUCCAAAUCAACUUGUCUAUCCAUUUUCAGAACAACUAGUGUUUUGCAUGUAAAUAUUCCCAAUAGAUUUGAUCGUUCAGCAUCAUUUUCAAACAGAAAAAUCUCAAGUUCUUGAACAUUGCACAACGGUAAAGCAGAUAUCAAGGAGUCCAUUUGCAACUGAAACCGUUCACAUAGCCACGGUGGGAAGAUUGUGAGCCCAAAUUUUCUUAUGGGAGCUGUGUUACGUUGCCGUAUCAAGUUAAUACAAAAAUCAAUAAAUCUAGAGAACUUCAGAUGAGAAUUUUCACGUUGAAUAGGAUCUAAUUCGUCUGAAGUGUCAUUAAAUACGAGAUUAAUAACUGGAAUAGAAGUGAGAAGGUAUCGCCAUCGAGGAGAUAAAAUUGAGGUGGCUGCGGCUUCUUUCAUGGGGAGAAAUGACAAAAUUUGGCAAAGGAGAAGGGCACUAAUUCUAUCAAUCCUAUUUGAAGAAUUGGCGGUGGGAUCUUGAUCCAAUGAUAUCUUCCCAGCCAAAAAAAAAGGGUGUUUCCACUGAUCAACAAGAAGGGCAAGAAAUGGGAAAACAGGAUGCUAAGUUGCAUAAAAGAAAUAACCAUAAACAUAAAAGAAAUGGGGAACGUCAUCGGUGUAUUAAGAAUUUCCUUGAUUGCACUGGAAUACAUUUCAUCUGUAGUCGAUCGGUAUCUAAAAUUUCAACACAAUGGCUGAUGCAUAUGAUAUAAUUAUUUGUUCAGAAUUUGAUUGUCUAUGGCUGAUGCUUAUGAUAUAAUUGCGCACUCCUUACUCAAGGUGUCCAUUUUGGCACUAAUUCCAUGAUUACCUAACGAGAAAAUACGUACUACUCUGUGUGACCUUUGCCUACGAGUCCAAUCAGCUCCCUGCCCACAAAACAAAACAAAAAAAAAUAAUAAAAGGCAUCUUUUCUUAAAAAAAAAUUAAAAAAAAAAUGCUUUGAGAUUAUCAAUUAAUGCUGCUAGCUCCGGUCCAAUCAGCUCAAAACUCAACUAAUUGAUCCUUUAUAAACUUGUAAUUUGAGCACUUAAUUUAGUGGCUUGCUGCUUUAAUUAUUUUACCAGCUGCAGGUAUCACUUAAAGGAUGCGGUUCUUGACGGAGGAAUCCCUUUCAACAGGGCCUACGGAAUAUCACGGAACCGAUCCCAGAUUCAACAAGGUGUUUAACCAGGGAAUGUCUAAUCACUCCACCAUUACCAUGAAGAAGAUUUUGGAAGUUGACAGAGGGUUUGAGGGACUGAAGACCGUGGUCCACGUGGGGGGUGGAACUGGGGCUACGCUCAAUAUGAUCAUCAGCAAAUAAUUCUAGCAGACAAAAAGGAAAAGGUUUCAAUCUUAUUAUCAGAAAACCAUCAAACUUUUCGAUUCUUCAUCAAAGCAUAUAACAAGUUUUGACAAGAUAACAAGAACAAGCAUUACAAAAAAACCACACACACACACUGAAUGCACACACAUACACUUUCGAACAUUUGAGACGUUUAAAAAAUAAUACUCUAAAAUUGUUGAAAGACGAAGAAGAAGAAGAAUGGGAAUUUACCGCAAAAGGGUUCACUUCUUCUUCAGCAAACGGAUUGGAAUCGUAACGGCCAGCCAUUAUCAGAAGAACCCUUUAAUGAAAAUGCACAAUGCAAAAAAGAAAGUAUGAUAUUAUCUUUUUAAAAUGUUCAAGAAAAUAACACAAAAAUUCGGAUCUGGGGAGAAUAUAAAACGGGUUUGAAGAUUUUGUAUGAUAUUGUUGCCAAAAUGGGAAUGUUAUGUUAAUGAGAACGUAUGGAAUCAAGAAUUGGACUUGGUUUUUCUUUUGUUAAUAUUUUUUUAAAUGACUUAGUUUUAAUAUGUUUUUCGAUAUGGGGUUGUACUUAUACAUCGUUUGGGGUUCCCGGGAAAAUUGAGGGGCAAAAUCAGGGAAACUACCAAAGUUGGCCCCGGUGGCUUUGGAGCUGCAAAUAGGCGGGGGAUGUCAGGACACAGCAAUUGAUUUCCCAAAUUAGAUCAAUUGAUUUUGCCCCAAUGCGCAAACGUUGUCGUUCAAUGUCAGGACGCAGCAAUUGAUUUCCCAAAUUAGACCAAUUGAUUUUGCCCCAAUGCGCAAACGUUGUCGUUCCAUUUAUUUGUUAGCAGAGUUAGUAAUAAGUCGGACGACGUCGUGGAAGACCCAAGCUAAGUAGCGCGACGUCGUUUGUCCGCAUAACAGAAUUAGUUGGCAACACUCGGAGUCGGUUACUUCAUCUUAUUUGUACAGCAGUGAUUGGUGGAAAAAGACAUCUCAGCAAUAUAACAGAAUUUCCCUCUUUUGCUACUUUCUCUCUCUAUUUCUCCCUCUCUCCCAAUUCUCCCUGCUCGUCUGUGCACUCUUCAUCCCCAAUCUUCCUAUCUCCCCCAAAUCUUCCUCAAUUCCGGAAUUAAUUCUCAAUUUUAGACAGAAAUGGAUCCAGAGGCCUGACAGGGGAUUGGGUUUAUAUGAGCUGGGGAAACAUUGGUGUCUUGGACCCGCCAACUGGCUAACUGACUCGGUAAUUGCAAUUCAUUAUUAUGAACUGUAGAUUUUUGCUGUACCAAUUUUGUACUUUUAAGUAAUUCUUCGUACUAUUAUACAACAAUGUCCAAAACACCGUUUCAACUACUUAAUUCAUAGUUAUAUAAAAAAUGGGAUGAUCAGAUACCUAAUAAAUUAAGUUUGUCCAAUUCAAACUGAUUCGUGUAAUUCUUAUUAUAUUUGGCGUAGGUUGUAUAGUUUGAUAUAAUCAUCAACUUUUGUAUAGAUUGAUAAAUUCGGAUUUACAUUCAAACUGUAAUUGUAUGAAUUUACAACAAAAGUUACAAAAAUAAAAAGAAUCGAUUUGAAUUGAAUAGAAAUCAACUUGCGAGAUUCUUGAUCCAAAAUUAGGAAGCUGCCUAUCAUUUGUAAUGACUUGUUGAUUCUUUUGUUAAAAUGUACACACUCCUAACUUCCUUAGGGGGAAAAAAAAAAAAAGAAAGAACGUUUCACCCUCUUCUGUUUCCUUAGAAACCUUUGGAAGUGAUAUAUAUAUAUAUAUAUAUAUAUAUAUUUUAAUGGUGUUUCCCAAUGAAAACUUAACCGUCAAUAUACAAAAGUUAGGCAUAUCUAAAUUCAACACUAUGUAUCAGGAAUUUAGCGAGAAAAAUCAUGCUAGGCCUAAAAAAUGGUAAGCUUUAGGUACUGUAACGCCCUAGCCUCAAGAGCUAACCUAAGGAACUUUUGAGUUGAAACCACAAAUUUAAAAUGAUUAAUUUAAAUCCUGGCCAAAGAACUUUUGAGCUAAAACUAUGGAUUCAAAAUAAUUAACUCAAGUUAUUAAGUAGUCCAUGGAUCUAGAAAUAACAUAUUGGCCAAGACUCAACCCAGGCAAAAACCAUGCAAAAUCUGUUAGCAUUUAAACUGAAAUCGCGGGUCAAAACAAUUAAACCAAAUUGCUAAAUAACCCAUGGGUCUAGAGUCAUGUAUCAAUCCAAUCCUUUCCUUUCUUUUUGAUGUUGGACGGGUCCUCAGAGUUAAGACAGAAAUAAUUUGAUUAAAUUUUUAACAUUGGUAUAUAAUUGAAGGCAACAUGUGACAUAAUCGAAUACCUGCAAUCCUUUUGCUUUGAAUAAUAAAUAUGAUAAGUCUUUUUCAGAAAAAUAAAAUACUACUCCAUGAUAAGUUGCACAACCUUAAUUAGAACUGAACAUACUCCUUUGCUAGUUUGGCUGGCAUUCAUAUUUAUUUGAUAAGCUCAAGGACCCAAAUGCACUGUAUCUUAAUGAAAAUUAAAGUUUCACUUUACAAUAGAGUUGGACAUUGAGAAACAGCAAUAAAGAUAUACACACUGAGGUACUGCGUCAACAAACAAUCCCAAAUUAUAUGCUGUUGUUCAACAUACAGGAUUCAUCAAAAUCCCCCAAACAUUUGAAUGUGGUCUCAGGUCACGGAAAUACUUUGGUUGCUGUCCCUGCAGCAUAACAGACAUGAGCUCAAGAAAUAGAUUGGCAGUCAUUUGCUGAAUCAAGAAAAAAGGAAAAUAGUAGAACGUGUAAGAAUUAGCUUAGCAAGCCAUUAUUAAAUGCCAAACCCAAAAUCCUGUUAUGAGUCAUUCAUAGAGGUGCAGGUCAGAGCUGUUAGAUUUUAUUGGCCCGAAGUUUGAUUACAUAACAACAGAGAACAAAAGUAUUUAUUCCGUUCCUAGUCAAUUUGUAAUUUUUCUUUUAAAAUACAUGCGCAUGUCUGUUCUAGCAAAAAGAUGUAAAUUUUCAGAGUCUACUACUUUUAACUACUAAAACAAUCCCUGGUGCAUUGAAGUCUUUCAGACAAUGUAAUGAAUCUUUUUAUUUAAAAAAGGAAAAUGUCUAUCAAUACUUUAAUCUGUCUUUCAAGUUACAGCUUGAAACAAAAACAGAGAAGAUGCACCUCAAAGGAGAGAAUACUGGAAUCAAUAAUCAGCAGACAUCUGGAAUCAAUAAUGAGGCAGUUUGAGAAAACUGCUCUUCUUUUUUGUGACGAUGGAUGAGUUGCCUUGAUUCUGACCCUUUAAAAAACAAAAAGAAUGACUGAUAAGGAGGAGGACGAAAGAAUCUACGGAAAAGAAAAUGUAAAGAGCAAUUGAAGGAUAUGGCCAUUUAAAAGGAAGCAGUAGCGUUUUUUAUUUCCUUUUUCCUUCCGGGGAUUAUAUAUAAGAAAAAAAAAAAGCACUACUAAUAGAAUUCUAAACAAACCGAAUAAGUAGAGAUUAAAACAGAACAUUGGAAAUAAUUAUUAACUACUUACAGUUACAGUGGGGUUUGUUUCCCUAAUGCGAAACCAGUCAAACUUUGUUGAAAUCGAUAACAACAAGGGGAAUAUGUGCAAUCUUGGGCCACUCUGCGCCACUUCCUUUGAUGCAUCUCUUUGCUAAAAGAGGACAGUUGUAGAUACGUAGCUCAUUUAAAUUGGUGAGGUGUCGCAUUGCUUCUGCGGAGGGCAACUGUCUGAGGUUAGAGCAAUCACCAAUCCACAAUUCUCGAAGAUUCCGAAGGCUACCCAUCCACUCUGGAAGAACUUCCAACCCCUCAAACUCCCAUAUCUCUAGAGACGUCAAGGUAGAGAUAUGCUGAAUUUGGUCUGGGAGAGACGUGAUUUUUGGCCAUCCAUACAAUCGAAGUGUUUCCAGCGAGACGAGAUUGGUGAUGGAGUGUGGCCACGGGAAAUGAUCAAGGUCAAGGAUGUCAGAGAAGCCACCGAGAGUCAACGAUCUGAGGUUGGCUAGACGGUGGAGAACCAUAAUUGGCCAACAACCAGGGUCAUGAGAGCGGAUCUCCAACCGCUCGAG